AAUAGAUACCCUGGUAGUCCACGCCGUAAACGAUGAGUGCUAAGUGUUAGGGGGUUUCCGCCCCUUAGUGCUGCAGCUAACGCAUUAAGCACUCCGCCUGGGGAGUACGGUCGCAAGACUGAAACUCAAAGGAAUUGACGGGGGCCCGCACAAGCGGUGGAGCAUGUGGUUUAAUUCGAAGCAACGCGAAGAACCUUACCAGGUCUUGACAUCCCACUGACCGCUAUGGAGACAUAGUUUUCCCUUCGGGGACAGUGGUGACAGGUGGUGCAUGGUUGUCGUCAGCUCGUGUCGUGAGAUGUUGGGUUAAGUCCCGCAACGAGCGCAACCCUUGAUCUUAGUUGCCAUCAUUUAGUUGGGCACUCUAAGGUGACUGCCGGUGAUAAACCGGAGGAAGGUGGGGAUGACGUCAAAUCAUCAUGCCCCUUAUGACCUGGGCUACACACGUGCUACAAUGGACGGUACAAACGGUUGCCAACCCGCGAGGGGGAGCUAAUCCGAUAAAACCGUUCUCAGUUCGGAUUGUAGGCUGCAACUCGCCUAC
Molecule: ribosomal RNA, 544 nt
Filed under: uncultured bacterium
Lineage: Bacteria
Description: bacterial SSU rRNA
Rfam family: Bacterial small subunit ribosomal RNA
Source: RNAcentral